AUCUGAAAUUUGGUAAUUUCCUUAGUGUUUUCCUGGCCGACCUGUGCUGGUAUUGUAAUUAAGAGCUAAUACACCAUUCUCUGGUGAACUGCAGCUGCGGCCGAAUUUGAUUGUGUGCAUCAUCCUGCAGAUAUUUUGAAAUUUUGUGGACGCUUCUGCUGUGCUGCGUUCCUGCUCCGCCCGUGUAUUGCUCCGCCCGUGUUUUAUAGUGUUGCGUCCCAGUUGCGCCUUUGCAUUAGUGUGUGCGUUGUGCUUUAGACACGUUGAAAUUGUUUGUAUGCUUCUGCUGUGCUGCGUUACUGCUUCACCCGUGUAUUAAAUUGCAGCGUUCGUGUUAAUAUAAGCAUCGUCGUUUAAGUACAAAACCGCGUAACUGACAUUUGUUGCUAAAAAUUGGAUUUGCUCACACAAGUUCUUGGCUCAAUCCUUAUCCAUUCUUCCUGAUACAUACUAGCCAAAAAUGCGAUUGCUUUUUAAAAAAAGAAAAAAAAAUCAAAGGUAAUUUUUAGCCAAUUCAAACUUGCAUAUAAUAAGACUAAAAUUGAAGGGGCUAUAAAACUGAGUGCUCAAAUAGAAAUAGAAAUAAAUUAACAUGAGAGGGAAAUAAUAUCACUUUGAAAUAGGGUUGCUAUUGAUAUGACCGAUACUGUAUGUAUAUAAUAAAUUUUGUACAAUUAAAAAUCAAAGUGGAUUUACUAAAAUGAACACAACGUAUUAAUUAUAAAUUCUGAAAUAUAUUGUUAAUUUCAAAAACAAAUAAAUAAUUUGGAUGUACGUGAACUUGGG
Long non-coding RNA from Rhagoletis pomonella (apple maggot), 786 nucleotides. RefSeq lists it as uncharacterized. NCBI's taxonomy places the organism in Eukaryota, Metazoa, Arthropoda, Insecta, Diptera, Tephritidae. The transcript is spliced from 6 exons. The record is from RefSeq and is a predicted model, not a curated record.